This is a long non-coding RNA of Trichomycterus rosablanca, 498 nucleotides long. RefSeq lists it as uncharacterized. The transcript has 4 exons. The record is from RefSeq and is a predicted model, not a curated record. Lineage: Eukaryota; Metazoa; Chordata; Actinopteri; Siluriformes; Trichomycteridae.
AGCUGCGGAGAGAGAAUACAAAGCGAAAGAGCAGCGUUAAGGGCCACGGCAGGUCCAGUUCCACCUGAAAACACUGGGCACAAGGCAGGAACACCCUGGACGGGACAUCAAUCCAUCACAGAGCAGUUGCAAGAACGGUGAAUUUUAAAUGAUCCGUGCUUGCUGAUGUCACAGUCUGCCCGAUUUGGGGAGACUUAGUCGGAACCAGUUCAGAGUCACCUGCUAUGUGGCUGCAUUUGUCUCACCUUGCAUUGAGACUGUAAAUUGGGUACAACACGUCCACCUAUCACACUUGGUAGCACUCACACCUGCCAACCCCUUCCCAUAGAAACCCUUUGUAACAGAACUGUACAGCACAACUCAAAACAGAAGAAAAACUAAGUCCAUCCAACACCUCGCCCAUAUUCACAGUGCAGACAGUUGUAAACUUUUGCCUAAAGACACGUUGUUGUUGAUACCAGCUGUGCCUGUGUGCAUGCAUGCUGUGCUGUUAACCAA